UACGGAGGGUGCAAGCGUUAUCCGGAUUCACUGGGUUUAAAGGGUGCGUAGGAGGGCAGGGAAGUCCGUGGUGAAAUCCUAGAGCUUAACUCUAAGCAACUGCCGUGGAUACUCUCUGUCUUGAAUCCCGUGGAGAUGAGCGGAAUAUGUCAUGUAGCGGUGAAAUGCUUAGAUAUGACAUAGAACACCAAUUGCGAAGGCAGCAUC
This 207-nucleotide ribosomal RNA is filed under the name uncultured bacterium. RNAcentral describes it as "partial 16S ribosomal RNA". It matches the Rfam family "Bacterial small subunit ribosomal RNA", at positions 524 to 730 of the family's 1533-position model. The record is from RNAcentral.